Molecule: non-coding RNA, 1018 nt
Filed under: Tetranychus urticae (two-spotted spider mite)
Lineage: Eukaryota; Metazoa; Arthropoda; Arachnida; Trombidiformes; Tetranychidae
Description: Eukaryotic large subunit ribosomal RNA
Rfam family: Eukaryotic large subunit ribosomal RNA
Source: Rfam by way of RNAcentral
CCCGCCGAAUUUAAGCAUAUAAUUCAGCGGAGGAAAAGAAAUCAAAUGAGAUUCCCUGAGUAACGGCGAGUGAAAAGGGAUGAGUCCGGCGCAAAGGUUUUCCAUUGAAAGGUGGAAAGCGGUGCUGCGUAAUGGCUAGAGUCACGAUUAUUUCAACUAAAUCUGCAAGUCCCUCUGACAAGGGCCCUCUUCCCAGAGACGGUUCUAGGCCGGUGGCAGAUCUUGGUUAAUGGAAUAUCGAUUACUGGCUUUAGUCGCGGAUAGAGUCAGAUUGCUUGAGAGUGCAAUCCAAAUUAGGAGGUAAACUCCUCCUAAGACUAAAUACGAUGGUAAUAUCGAUAGCAAACAAGUACCGUGAGGGAAAGUUGCAAAGUACUUUGAAGAGAGAGUUCAAAAGGACGUGAAACCGCUUGUAGAGAAACGGAUAGAACCACGAAGUGUAGCUGAGAGGAGAACUCAGCUUCUCUUGUGUAUUGUUGCCUUUUUCUAUUCAGUGCUAAGAAUGCUUUACAGCGUUCCAAGAUCAGUAGGUUAAGGGGUAACUUUUAGCCUGCCCUUGGAUCUUGGUAUUGAUAGGAGGAGUGCAAUAUGUGCAUGAGGAGUGCAUUUUCUCAACUCUCGUGCUCAAACCACGACCAAUGUGAAGGAGAGUGCAAAACUCUUGUUCAAGUGAUAACAGCAAGGUGUACUAAACACACACCUAAUCAGCAUUUAGUUUUCACAGCUACUAAUAUUCCUUGCGUUAUUAGACUUAGCCUGUGAGCUAGUGUUGGCAACUGUUACCACAGUCACAUUGGAGAUGAAUCUCUGCUUAUGCAGGGUCAACAAUGCUUGUCAUCUGCUCUGACGAAUCCGACUAGUCUUUCGUUGAUGAUGUCUGUUUCUUCACCUGGUGUUGAAACAACUCAUGGAUUGGCUGGCUUUUGGUGGUUUGUUGGUAAAAGUGGCAAGCUUACGUUAACCUAGUGAUUCUGUGGUCAGUAGAUCGGUACUCUAUCCGACCCGUCUUGAAACACGG